Molecule: ribosomal RNA, 763 nt
Filed under: uncultured bacterium
Lineage: Bacteria
Description: bacterial SSU rRNA
Rfam family: Bacterial small subunit ribosomal RNA
Source: RNAcentral
AUAGUUUGAUUAUGGCUCAGAACGAACGCUUGGCGGCGUGGAUUAGGCAUGCAAGUCGAACGAGAAAGGUUCCUUCGGGAACUGAGUACAGUGGCAAACGGGUGAGUAACGCGUGGGAAACCUGCCCUUCAGUUGGGGACAACACUCCUAACGGAGUGCUAAUACCGAAUACCAUCCUCUGGUCGCAUGGCCGGAGGAUGAAAGGCGGCCUCUGCUUGCAAGCCGUCGCUGAAGGAUGGUCCCGCGUCCCAUUAGCUAGUUGGUGGGGUAAUGGCCCACCAAGGCAUCGAUGGGUAGCCGGCCUUAGCGGGUGACCGGUCACACUGGGACUGAGAUACGGCCCAGACUCCUACGGGAGGCAGCAGUCGAGAGGCUUCCACAAUGGGGGAAACCCUGAUGGAGCGACGCCGCGUGGAUGAUGACGGCCUUCGGGUUGUAAAGUCCUUUCAGCAGGGACGAUAGAAAUGCGGGGGAAUAUCCCGUGUUUCCAGACGGUACCUGCAGAAGAAGCUCCGGCUAACUCCGUGCCAGCAGCCGCGGUAAGACGGGGGGAGCAAGCGUUGUUCGGAUUUACUGGGCGUAAAGGGCGUCUAGGCGGAUCUGUAAGUCAGAUGUGAAAUCCCCCGGCUCAACCGGGGAACUGCAUUUGAUACUGCAAGUCUUGAGUACGGAAGAGGGAAGCGGAAUUCCUGGUGUAGCGGUGAAAUGCGUAGAUAUCAGGAAGAACACCGGUGGCGAAGGCGGCUUCCUGGUCCGUUACUGA